AACGAACGCUGGCGGCAGGCUUAACACAUGCAAGUCGAACGCCCCGCAAGGGGAGUGGCAGACGGGUGAGUAACGCGUGGGAAUCUACCCAUCUCUGCGGAAUAGCUCCGGGAAACUGGAAUUAAUACCGCAUACGCCCUACGGGGGAAAGAUUUAUCGGGGAUGGAUGAGCCCGCGUUGGAUUAGCUAGUUGGUGGGGUAAAGGCCUACCAUGGCGACGAUCCAUAGCUGGUCUGAGAGGAUGAUCAGCCACAUCGGGACUGAGACACGGCCCAAACUCCUACGGGAGGCAGCAGUGGGGAAUAUUGGACAAUGGGCGCAAGCCUGAUCCAACCAUGCCGCGUGAGUGAUGAAGGCCUUAGGGUUGUAAAGCUCUUUCACCGGUGAAGAUAAUGACGGUAACCGGAGAAGAAGCCCCGGCUAACUUCGUGCCAGCCGCCGCCGUAA
This 447-nucleotide ribosomal RNA is filed under the name uncultured bacterium. RNAcentral describes it as "partial 16S ribosomal RNA". It matches the Rfam family "Bacterial small subunit ribosomal RNA", at positions 29 to 523 of the family's 1533-position model. The record is from RNAcentral.